UUGACGGUACCCUACUAGAAAGGAGCCGCUAACUUCGUGCCAGAAGCGUCGGUAAUACGGGGGCUCCAAGCGUUAUCCGGUGUUAUUGGGCGUAAAGAGUCGUGUAGGUGGUUGGGUAAGUUAUCUUUCAAAUAUCUUUGCUUAACAAAGAGGAGGGGGAUAAUACUGCUCGACUAGAAUUUUCUCAAGGGAGAUCGGAACUGAGGGAGGAGUAGUGAAAUGCGUUGAUACCCUCGGGAACACCAGUGGCGUAGGCGGAUCUCUGGGAGAAGAUUGACACUGAGACACGAAAGCUAGGGGAGCGAAGCAGAUUAGAGACCUGCGUAGUCCUAGCCGUAAACGCAUGCUUGCUAGCUGCAUGAAUCUACCUUCGGGUGGUAUCGUGUGGCGAAGGUAACCCGUUAAGCAAGCCGCCUGGAAAGUACGGCCGCAAGGCUGAAAUUCAAAGGAAUUGGCGGGGAGGCACACAACCAGUGGAACAUGUGGUUUAAUUCGAGACUAACCGAAGAACCUCACCAGGGUUUGACAUGUAGCUGCACGUCUUAAGAAAUUAAGACUCUCUUGAAGGUGCUACACAGGUGCUGCAUGGCUGUCGUCAGCUCGUUCCGUGAGGAGUGCCCUUAAGUGGGACAACGAGCGCAACCCCUAUUACAUGUUAGAAAUGUCAUGUAAGACUGCCUUGCCAUUUGGCGGGGAGGAAGGAGGGGCAGACGUCAAGUCCGCAUGGUCCUUAUGCCCUGGGCUACACACAUGUUACAAUGAGUACGGCAAUGAGUCUGUCGCGAGCACGUAAGUGUAAGCUAAUCUCUUAAAUGUACUCUCAGUGGGGAUUGAGGUCUGCAACUCGACCUCAUGAACACGGAAUUGGUAGUAAUCGCGGGUCAGCUAUACCGCGGUGAAUACGUUCUUGCCUCUUGCACACACUGCCCGUCAAACCAGCAAAGU
RNAcentral lists this ribosomal RNA (945 nucleotides) under uncultured organism. Its description in RNAcentral is "bacterial SSU rRNA". It matches the Rfam family "Bacterial small subunit ribosomal RNA", at positions 469 to 1411 of the family's 1533-position model. The record is from RNAcentral.